UGCAGUGAUUUUCCUCCUGGAAUUCCCCUUCCAUAUUCUUACUCUGUGUCUGUGUACAAGUCACAUAUGAGCUGCUCUAGGCCAGUUGACCAAAAACGAUGAAGACGGUGAUGAAGAUGGAGAGUAAAUGGCUCCCAAGGACUAUUGAGAUAGAAGCAGGCAGGUCGAUGUUACUGAUAUUCAGGCAGAAACAGUGUGAAGACACAUUGGCCUCACCCUCCUCAUCCACUGGAGCAUCUGCAGAACCAGACAGAUAAUAUAUAAUAGAUAAUAUUCAUUCAUUAAA
Molecule: long non-coding RNA, 286 nt
Organism: Xenopus laevis (African clawed frog)
Lineage: Eukaryota; Metazoa; Chordata; Amphibia; Anura; Pipidae
Exons: 2
Source: RefSeq, a predicted model, not a curated record